UACAGAGGGGGCAAGCGUUGUUCGGAAUUACUGGGCGUAAAGGGCGCGUAGGCGGCCAACUAAGUCAGACGUGAAAUCCCCAGGCUCAACCUGGGAACUGCGUCUGAUACUGGAUGGCUCGAGUUCGGGAGAGGGAAGUGGAAUUCCAGGUGUAGCGGUGAAAUGCGUAGAUAUCUGGAGGAACAUCAGUGGCGAAGGCGACACCCUGGACUCAUACUGACACUGAGGUGCGAAAGCGUGGGGAGCAAACAGG
RNAcentral lists this ribosomal RNA (253 nucleotides) under uncultured bacterium. RNAcentral's name for it is "partial 16S ribosomal RNA". It matches the Rfam family "Bacterial small subunit ribosomal RNA", at positions 524 to 776 of the family's 1533-position model. The record is from RNAcentral.